GAUGAACGCUGGCGGCGUGCCUAAUACAUGCAAGUCGAGCGAACAGACGAGGAGCUUGCUCCUCUGACGUUAGCGGCGGACGGGUGAGUAACACGUGGAUAACCUACCUAUAAGACUGGGAUAACUUCGGGAAACCGGAGCUAAUACCGGAUAAUAUAUUGAACCGCAUGGUUCAAUAGUGAAAGACGGUUUUGCUGUCACUUAUAGAUGGAUCCGCGCCGCAUUAGCUAGUUGGUAAGGUAACGGCUUACCAAGGCAACGAUGCGUAGCCGACCUGAGAGGGUGAGUCGCCACACUGGAACUGAGACACGGGCCCGAAUCCUACGGGAGGCAGCAGUAGGGAAUCUUCCGCAAUGGGCGAAAGCUUGACGGAGCAACGCCGCGUGAGUGAAGAAGGUCUUCGGAUCGUAAAACUCUUUUAUUAGGGAAGAACAAAUGUGUAAGUAACUAUGCACGUCUUGACGGUACCUAAUCAGAAAGCCACGGCUAACUACGUG
RNAcentral lists this ribosomal RNA (497 nucleotides) under uncultured bacterium. RNAcentral describes it as "partial 16S ribosomal RNA". It matches the Rfam family "Bacterial small subunit ribosomal RNA", at positions 28 to 507 of the family's 1533-position model. The record is from RNAcentral.